GAUGAAGAACGCAGCGAAAUGCGAUAAUUAAUGUGAAUUGCAGAAUUUAGUGAAUCAUCGAAUCUUUGAACGCACAUUGCGCCCCUUGGUAUUCCGGGGGGCAUGCCUGUUCGAGCGUCAUUUCAACCCUCAAGCUCUGCUUGGUCUUGGGCCGCGCCGGCGACGGCGGGCCUCAAAAACAGUGGCGGCGCCAUCUGGUUCCUCAGCGUAGUAAUUCUUCUCGCUGUUGGGCCCGGGUGGCCGCUGGCCAGCAACCCCAAAUUUUCUAUGGUUGACCUCGGAUCAGGUAGGGAUACCCGCUGAACUUAAGCAUAUCAAUAAGCGGAGGA
Molecule: unclassified non-coding RNA, 329 nt
Filed under: soil metagenome
Description: partial contains 5.8S ribosomal RNA, internal transcribed spacer 2, and large subunit ribosomal RNA
Rfam family: 5.8S ribosomal RNA (bases 1-120)
Source: RNAcentral